UAAUUUUAUUAAGAGAAGGGGAAAAAAGUUCAAACUACCCCUAUUUGAAAAGAUUUAGGGUUCGGGGGUUAGUUACAUAAAGGGAAGGUAUUAGCACCCUCUAUGUCCGCAGUACUCUACGGGAACCUCUUGGUUUUAUUUAAUUCAAUGUGCUAUAACUUGCUUGCUUUUGAAAAGAAGGAAUUAAUGUGAUGAAAAAGAAAAUAAAGUGAGACCUAAUUUAUCUACAUUUUUUAUUGUUUGGAAGGACGAGUGUCCUCUGCCUACGUACCCGUGAAGGAUCAAAACCUCGUAGUUCGGGGUAGAAAACAACGUUUGAUUGGUUUUGUGUUUUUUAUUAGUUUUGAAAAAGGUUUUAAA
Molecule: long non-coding RNA, 360 nt
Filed under: Medicago truncatula (barrel medic)
Lineage: Eukaryota; Viridiplantae; Streptophyta; Magnoliopsida; Fabales; Fabaceae
Description: long non-coding RNA (MTRU_LNC007041)
Source: RNAcentral